ACCUGAAAUCAAGCAAGAUCACCCGCUGAACUUAAGCAUAUCAGUAAGCGGAGGAAAAGAAACUAACAAGGAUUGCCUUAGUAGUGGCGAAUGAACCGGCAAUAGCUCAAAGUGUAAAUCUGAGGCAUCAAGUCUUAGAAUUGUAAUCUAUAGGCCUUUUAGGGAAGCCAUGGUUCUAGCAUAAGUUCCCUGAAAAGGGAUGCCAAAGAGGGUAAAAGCCCCGUAUUUGGUUAGGACUGGGUGUACCGAAGGGUUCCAAGAGUCGGGUUGUUUGGGAUUGCAGCCUAAAAUGGGAGAUAAACUUCUUCUAAAGCUAAAUAUUUAUGGGAAACCGAUAGCAAACAAGUACUACGAAGGAAAGAUGAAAAGAACUUUGAAAAGAGGGUUAAAAGACUUGAAAUCGUUGAGGAGAAAAGCGGUAGAAGAGAAAUGAUUUCAUUUAGAAGUAUGUAGUUUUGUAGGCGUCUUCUGUGGUAAUGGUACUUCAUAGGGCCUAGCUAUAGACCGGCGUCGCAUUGCUGCUUUUUCUGGAUGAAGUGCAAAAUGAGGUCUCGCUUGCGGAAACGUCUCUAGGGAAGACUCUGGCCUCGACGCUAGAAGCCCUGGUCUCCAA
RNAcentral lists this ribosomal RNA (613 nucleotides) under Paramecium triaurelia. Its description in RNAcentral is "eukaryotic LSU rRNA". It matches the Rfam family "Eukaryotic large subunit ribosomal RNA", at positions 1 to 570 of the family's 3401-position model. The record is from RNAcentral. Lineage: Eukaryota; Ciliophora; Oligohymenophorea; Peniculida; Parameciidae.